This is a long non-coding RNA of Andrographis paniculata, 397 nucleotides long. RefSeq lists it as uncharacterized. The transcript has 2 exons. The record is from RefSeq and is a predicted model, not a curated record. NCBI's taxonomy places the organism in Eukaryota, Viridiplantae, Streptophyta, Magnoliopsida, Lamiales, Acanthaceae.
AGUAUGUUGAAUAAGCAACAUGACAUAAGAUAUAUGUCAUUCCAUUCACUAGGAAUGCACAAAAAUCCAAUCCAGAUCAAGCAAUUGAAUAGAGAUAAGAAAUGAAUGGAAGAAAGGAAGGCAUACCUUGAUUGCAGGCUUGACAGUAAGCAAGCAGGAGAUUUUUCCCCUUUCGAUGGACACAACUUUGAGAACACCUCCAAUCAGGUCGGAGAACGAGUCCUUGACGUCGAAUUGUGGUUCCAUCGUUUUGUUAGUUCCCAAGUGAUUAAAAAAUCCGACGGUUGCUUCCAAGUCCUCUGCACGAAUGUCUUCGGAGGCAGCAGCCGUCACCGGAAUUCUAUCGCCGGCCGCCAUCGUUCUUCCCCUGCUCCCGGAAUCAAAAUUAGCUGAUCUU